Molecule: ribosomal RNA, 212 nt
Filed under: uncultured Pseudomonas sp.
Lineage: Bacteria; Pseudomonadati; Pseudomonadota; Gammaproteobacteria; Pseudomonadales; Pseudomonadaceae
Description: partial 16S ribosomal RNA
Rfam family: Bacterial small subunit ribosomal RNA
Source: RNAcentral
UGGGGAUGACGUCAAGUCAUCAUGGCCCUUACGGCCUGGGCUACACACGUGCUACAAUGGUCGGUACAAAGGGUUGCCAAGCCGCGAGGUGGAGCUAAUCCCAUAAAACCGAUCGUAGUCCGGAUCGCAGUCUGCAACUCGACUGCGUGAAGUCGGAAUCGCUACGUAAUCGUGAAAUACAGAAUGUCACGGUGAAUACGUUCCCGGGCCUU